UCCCUGGUGGUCCAGAGCUUAGGACUCUGUGCUUCCACUGCAGGCGGCCUAGGUUCGAUCCCUGGUUGGGAAA
RNAcentral lists this transfer RNA (73 nucleotides) under Bos taurus (domestic cattle). It matches the Rfam family "tRNA". From Rfam's summary of the family: Transfer RNA (tRNA) molecules are approximately 80 nucleotides in length. Their secondary structure includes four short double-helical elements and three loops (D, anti-codon, and T loops). Further hydrogen bonds mediate the characteristic L-shaped molecular structure. tRNAs have two regions of fundamental functional importance: the anti-codon, which is responsible for specific mRNA codon recognition, and the 3' end, to which the tRNAs corresponding amino acid is attached (by aminoacyl-tRNA synthetases). tRNAs cope with the degeneracy of the genetic code in two manners: having more than one tRNA (with a specific anti-codon) for a particular amino acid; and 'wobble' base-pairing, i.e. permitting non-standard base-pairing at the 3rd anti-codon position. Lineage: Eukaryota; Metazoa; Chordata; Mammalia; Artiodactyla; Bovidae. RNAcentral also lists the same sequence under 2 other names. The record is from Rfam by way of RNAcentral.